GAGACCUUAGUUUAAUGGUAAAAUAUGAGACUUUUAAUCUUUAUGAUGUGGGUUCGAACCCCACAGGUCUUA
This 72-nucleotide transfer RNA is filed under the name Phialocephala subalpina. RNAcentral's name for it is "tRNA-Lys". It matches the Rfam family "tRNA". Rfam says of the family: Transfer RNA (tRNA) molecules are approximately 80 nucleotides in length. The record is from RNAcentral. Lineage: Eukaryota; Fungi; Ascomycota; Leotiomycetes; Helotiales; Mollisiaceae.